Molecule: ribosomal RNA, 254 nt
Filed under: uncultured bacterium
Lineage: Bacteria
Description: partial 16S ribosomal RNA
Rfam family: Bacterial small subunit ribosomal RNA
Source: RNAcentral
UGGCUAACUCCGUGCCAGCAGCCGCGGUAAUACGGAGGGGGCUAGCGUUAUUCGGAAUUAUUGGGCGUAAAGGGCGCGUAGGCGGGUUAAUAAGUUAAAAGUGAAAUCCCGAGGCUUAACCUUGGAAUUGCUUUUAAAACUGUUAAUCUAGAGAUUGAAAGAGGAUAGAGGAAUUCCUAAUGUAGAGGUGAAAUUCGUAAAUAUUAGGAGGAACACCAGUGGCGAAGGCGUCUAUCUGGUUCAAAUCUGACGCU